Long non-coding RNA from Syngnathus typhle (broad-nosed pipefish), 1114 nucleotides. RefSeq lists it as uncharacterized. The record is from RefSeq and is a predicted model, not a curated record. The transcript has 3 exons. NCBI's taxonomy places the organism in Eukaryota, Metazoa, Chordata, Actinopteri, Syngnathiformes, Syngnathidae.
AGUGUUGUUGAUGAUUUAACUAUUAUUGUAGUUUAUUUUUAUUCACAGCAAGUGACAACAACAAUUAGAUUGAAUUUGUGCAAUUCUGCAAGGAGGAAUGGGCAAGGCACGCCAGUUCAAUGUAAAGCAAGUUCUACCAGUGACUACUAACUGUUUUGACUGAUGUCCAAACUACAAGAGUUGAGGCAACACGUCGUCUAUCUGAACAUCUAAACGCUAACAUAUUUUCGAAAGGUACUGCAUGUUACGUUUCCUUCUUUUUUAUCUUUAGUAUUAUCCCUUUAGUGACUAGAGAAGAUCAACAAAUUUAAUGAGACGUAAUAUCUUGUAAAGAUAAUUUAAUCCGUGCUUUGAGUUAUUUGACGGUUUCCAGGUGAAUUAGCUAGUGGGAUAAGACAUGAGUUUCAGAAGUUGUGGUCAAAAGACCUCAGCCGGAUAGGUGCAGUACAACAUGUUGCCCGCAGAGGGCGCCAAUGCUCUAAAUUGAGUAUUCUAUUACAGUUUCGGUCCUUUGAUAAUUUGCUAUUCGAUUUUAAAUAGUGUUAAAAAUAGGUGUGUAUCAUUAAAUCUGUCAAGGAGAUAGUUUAACAAAAAGAAAAUUUGGUACAUAGUCUUUCCAUUUUUUUUUUCACUUUUUUUUUUAAAUUAAGAUACUUUUUAAAGGGAAAAGUGCUCUUGGCAGUUUGCAAACAUAUUUUAUUGAGGCUACGUUAGACUUAUCAUAUCAAUAUAAUUUCCACUAGUGGUGUGCUCGUGUCGUCGCAUCGUGGGUUGUAAAGAAUGUGCAGGCAAACUGCACAAAGUUGGUUUCUUCGAAGUGUUGUGGAACAGGAGGUACCAUCGGUCCAGACAGGGAGGACACCUGGCAAGAACACCCCAAGGAUGUAUCAUCGGCCCAGACAGGGAGGACACCUCAAAAGAACAUCUCGAGGUCGGUGAGGAACGAGAAUAACACCCCGGCCCGGUGGUCGGACCCAACCGCCAGACAGCUGAGGCUGGUCACCUGCACUCAGCGAUAACACCCAGACGGGGAGGAGAUGGCCAUCGACCAACCAUUACACAAUGUUUUGCAUGUUUGAAUAUAAUAAAUAAAAACUAAUAAAGUUUGAAACUA